GAGCCACCCUGGUGAUCAUCGGCUCCCAUGCUGCCUUGCACCAGAUAGAGCCUUCAGACGGAGAGGAACUGCAGAUGGAGCCUGUGUAAGAUGUCAGAACCUGCCUGCCUUGCCGGCUGCCAGUGGCCUCAUUCACAUCACUGUGCACCCGGCAUGGCUCUGGAAUUGUGCCUCAGUCGUGCAAGCCACCAGCCCAGCGUGACCCCUGUGUGCCUGAAGCAAGGCUGCCAUGAACUACUGUGCACUAAGUGGAAAACACGGGGCUGGGAAGCAGCAGCUCAGCAGCUAAGAGCUUGCUGCUCCUCCAGGGACUUCUUAAAAGUGACUAGGUUAAGAGCACCGGCUGCUCUUCCAGAGGACCUGAGUUCAAUUCCCAGCAACCACAUGGUGGCUCCCAACCAUCCGUUAUGAGAUCUGGUGCCCUCUUCUGAUGCACAGGCAAAACAUUAUAUACAUAAUAAAUAAAUACUGCCUAUAGCUAUAGUUCCAAGGAAUCUGACAUUCCCUUCUGGCUUCCAAAAUGUACAUAUGCUCGCUCGCGUGCACACACACACACACACACACACACACACACACACACACACACACAGGCUCAAAUACAAACUGAGAAACGUGAGUUCUGAAUGGAAAACACAGUAGACCAGUGUGAAGGUGGCAUACAAUACUCAUUAGUCAUGUUUACAUAUAUGUUAGCAUGCCACACACGCCUUUAAUCUCAGCACUCAAGGAGGCAGAAGCAAGCAGAUCUCUGUGAGUUUGAGACUAGCCUGGUCUACAUAGUGAGCUCCAGGAUUGCUGGGAUUAUAGAUUUAUACAGAUCUAUACACAGGUACAUAUACAUACAUGCAUACAUACAUACAUACAUACAUACACACACAAAGAGAGGCAGAGCACAGGCUGGCCUCGAAUUCUAUGUAGCUGAGAAUGACCUCGAACUUCUGAUCCUCCUGCCUUUUGCUCCCAAGUCCUAGGGUGGAUGACAGUCUUAUGCCUCCAGGCUUGGUUUCUGUCACACUGUGGGAAUUGAGCCCAGGGCUUUAUACAUUCUGGAAGAGCGGUCCACCCAACGAAGGUAUAGUCAGCACCCCUGAUUUUAAUAUUGACCAUUUUGUUUGUUUGUGUGUGUGUGUGUGACAGUGUCUUAUUGUAUAGCCCAGACUGGCCUGGAACUCACUGUGUAUCUCAGUCUGGCCUGAGAUUUGUGACAGUCCUAUCUAUAUAUGCCUUAGCCUCCCAACUGCUAGGAUUACAGAUAAGAGCUGCCACCCCAGGUCUUUGAUAAUGUG
Molecule: long non-coding RNA, 1286 nt
Filed under: Cricetulus griseus (Chinese hamster)
Lineage: Eukaryota; Metazoa; Chordata; Mammalia; Rodentia; Cricetidae
Description: lncRNA (ENSCGRG00000025656.1)
Source: RNAcentral